AUCUGGCUGGCUCACUUGGUAGAGCAUGUGACUCUUGAUCUCAGGGUGAUGAGUUCAAGCCCCGUGCUGGGUA
This 73-nucleotide transfer RNA is filed under the name Canis lupus familiaris (dog). It matches the Rfam family "tRNA". Rfam says of the family: Transfer RNA (tRNA) molecules are approximately 80 nucleotides in length. Their secondary structure includes four short double-helical elements and three loops (D, anti-codon, and T loops). Lineage: Eukaryota; Metazoa; Chordata; Mammalia; Carnivora; Canidae. RNAcentral also lists the same sequence under 1 other name. The record is from Rfam by way of RNAcentral.